UGCUGGGGAAUGCUCUGGUGUUUCUGAAGGACUUGUCCAGCUCCUUGGAAGUGCCUUCUCCUCUGAGGGACAAAAGAUGUUUUUCUGUGUCAUUGCAGGAGAUGGUAUCACUUUGGUUACUACCAUUGCAGGCAGUAGUACAGGUGAGACUAUUUAAUUGAAAAGGCUAAUGUACAGGUCAGACUGAAAUUCUGUUGGGUUUUUUCCCCUUGUUCAUUCUUGAUCUUUGUCUUCCAGUGAAAAUCUGGACUCUCUCUUUGGUUUGCUAGCUACGCUGGAUUUAGUACAGUGAGACAAGAAUUUGAUUAAGCUGCUAUAAUUUUUGUGAACUGUUUUUAAUUGACGUCUGUCUCUCUGUCCGUAUAUGCAUGUUUAAGCAAUAUGUGGAAAGUUGCCUGUGUUUGACUAAAAUCAUAUUUCAUUGUUGUAGUGACAGAACUAAUUCAGUUCUGCAGUUUCUACGACUGAAUCUUUUUACCUGAGUGGGUCUGAGCCAUAGCAUCUGUUGAGUCUGCCAGCGAGGAGCAGUGAGGUGCUGCGUCCUGUAGUGCAUCCAGCCAUGCAGGUAGACCAGAGGCAGAGAUCUGGAAAAAUCUGGAUCAUUACUGUUUCUGAGUUUAUAUUAAGUUUCUGAAUUAAACUUGACUCGUUCACUAGUACAGCAUUAUACAUAUCCCUUGGAGAAGUGUGGUUAAAUGACCGAUUCUCCUUGUGUAAAUAUAUUGCAGUAUUUAAGGUUUUGAGGUUAUUUGGAUUUUGGAUAAAAAGGAGCUCUGAAACAGCUGUUUAAUCUGGUACACUGGCUGCACUUAGUUCUGUGUUAGACUGUAAGGAAGAAGUUACAGGCAACGUAUUUUCUUCUUUUUCCUGGGUAGGGAAUUUUUUGCCUUCUCUUUGUGUGGACAGCUGCUCAGCUGCAGGUAAAAACAUUAUAGUUUAUGGGGCUGCCAGCUGGAGCCAAUUAAAAUCUAAUGGACCAGAGUUGGCACUAAAAUAUCUUAUUCUGUCCUAGCAAUGCGGAGGUUUUGUUCUGCUUAUACAGGAUUUAAAAGGUUUACAGUGUUGUUAAGAAACAAAUUUACUUUCCAUUUUGCAAACCAAGACAUGUUUGAAUUUAAAAUCUGACACAGAAAUGUUACAGUUUGGGUCUUUUAAUGAAGUCAUGUCUCUACUGAGUGUGAAGAGUUGUGAUGGAGGGACUUUCCCUGCCUGACAAUGUUCUCCCCUAAAUACAUGGGAUGGAAGCAGAGAGCUGAAUGACUUGCUUUGGUCACACCUAGGAAAAAAAGAAGGUCUUGAGAGAGGAUCUGUCUUUUAGUCCUGACUGCCUCAAGCUAAGGAAAGCCAAGACAAGACAAGGAGCUUGAGUUACAGUAUUGGAGAGUGAAAAUCAUUAUUAUUGAGAGUAACAUGGACAAAGAGAGAUGUGGAUGGGAUGUGCUGGAGGGACAGAAAAGAGAGUCAGAGCUCAGCAGGAAGAAUUGAUUUUUGGAAAAAGAAUUCAGUUCAUUUGAACUGGAAGAAGAUGUUGUUUGUUCUUGAGCAGUAUGAUUCAGGCUAGCCAAUUAGUGCAAACCUAAAGGCUUAAAAGGCUUUUUUUUUUUUUGCUGUUCCAAAAUGAAUUCUUUUCAAAGUUUGGAUUAAGAACUUUUUCACUUAGUUUUGAAAGUGGGGAGAUUUAUUUUUUUUUUUCCAAAACAUACAAUUUCACCAAUAAUGUAUGGAACAUGGCUCAUGUAGGCAAUCUUUCUAUCUAGAAAGCCUUUCUAUUUCUGUAUAUACUUUUAUAUUAUACAAUCAUAGAAUAGUAAGGGUUGGAAAGGACCUUAAGAUCAUCUAGUUCCAACCCCCCUGCCAUGGGCAGGGACACCUCGCACUAAACCAUGUCACCCAAGGCUCUGUCCAGCCUGGCCUUGAACACUGCCAGGGAUGGAGCAUUCACAAUUUCCUUGGGCAACUCAUUCCAGUGCUUCACCACCCUCACUGUAAAGAACUUCUUCCUUAUAUCUAAUCUAAACUUCCUCUGUUUAAGUUUGAAGUCAUUCCCUCGUAUCCUACCACUACAGUCCCUAAUGAAGAGUCCCUCCCCAGCAUCCUUGUAGGCCCCUUUCAGAUACUGGAAGGCUGCUAUGAGGUCACCAUGCAGCCUUCUCUUCUCCAGGCUGAACAGCCCCAACUUUCUCAGCCUGUCUUCAUACAGGAGGUGCUCCAGCCCUCUCAUCAUCCUCAUGGCCCUCCUCUGGACUUGCUUCAACAGCUCCAUGACCUUUUUAUGUUGAGGACACCAGAACUGUAUGCAGUACUCCAAGUGAGGUCUCACGAGAGCAGAGUAGAGGGGCAGGAUCACCUCCUUGGAGCUGCUGGCCACGCUUCUUUUGAUGCAGCCCAGGAUACGGUUGGCUUUCUGGGCUGCAAGCGCACACUGCUGGCGCAUGUUAAGCUUCUCAUCAACCAACACCCCCAAGUCCUUUUCUGCAGGGCUGCUCUGAAUCUCUUCUCUGCCCAACCUGUAGCAGUGCCUGGGAUUGCCCUGGCCCAGGUUGGGGUUAUACUAUACUAUAAUACUUUUUUAUUUCUUAAGUGCAUUUCACUUCGUGUAUUCAGUGAAAACAUUUGAUCAGUCGAUGACCAAGGUACGUGUGAUAAACAGGAAUUCAAUUGCUUGUCAUUGUUUCUCCACAUUCUUAAAGGUUCUUCAGAGCACAACAGAUACCCUGAUAACGGGUACAAAAGUAAUCCUGUAGAUGAAUGAAAAAGGAAGGAGACGAUUCUUAAGGCAUGAGCCUGGAGUAUAAUGUCCCAUAGUUUCUGCAAACAAGCAGGCUCUGCAUUUGAAAGACUGGUGUGAAUAGCGGUCAUUUGAAAGUGGUCAUUGAAGAAGUGGUCAGAAACUCAGACCUGAUUUCUCUGUUUCACUGUUCAUGAGGUAGAUCUAAGCUGCUUUUAAACAUUCUGCCAUUUAUUCAAAGAGUCAUGUACUCGAAGACUGGUCAACAUGGCUGAUUUUAAUUCUGAACUGACUAGUUUUGACUCAGAAAUGGGUUAUUUCAUGCACGUGUUCAUGUUGUGGGUGGUUAAGUUGCUGUAGAAGGAAGUAAAGAGGACUGGGAGGGGAAUAAAAGAGCAUGAGAAAUAAUUGAGUUCAGAGAUACUUGUAUGAAACAGAUUAUACAGCAGAACUGUGUGUUUGGAUGAGGUGCUUCAGAAUGUCAGGGGAGGGUCACAAAAUCUAGGGUGUGUCUAGUCUAAUGGUAGCCACAGACAGUUGAAGUUUGUCUUGCUUUGACUUGUCACAGUGGUUCCUGGGUGACUAGUCUUUUUGUAGAUGAAGUACUUUCCACUGCUCUUGGGAUGUAGGCAUUUAUUUGCUGUCUUGACUAAAUGCCAACCUCUGAUCAGCUUGAGGCACAUUUACUGUUAGACCACUUGGAGGUGAAGAUGCAGCUCUCGGAGAACUGUCCUCGGAGGAAUGAGACCGGGGCCAGGACUAAUUUAGUCCUAAUUUCCAUGUGUUGUUUCCUCCCUUCCCCCCUGUGAAUUUUCCUUUUCUAAAGCCUUUGGGAACCAUUUCUAUCUGUUUUUGCGAAAAUAAGUUAAUGGAAUUAGAAGUAGUUUUGUAGGUCUUUACACAGUUAAAACUAUGUAGUUUUCCUGCUUAUGAUAUAUUCAGCUCCCUUCAUUACUGAAACCAAGGGUUUAAAUAGAACUGGAGAUCAUACAGCUGUAGGGUGGUCCUCGAGCACAGGACUGAUAUAUGCUCUCAUUGGAAAUACAUUUCCAAUUGGAAACCAUUGGAAAUACUGCAGAGGUGAAGUUGUUAUGCCUUUAUCGCAGCUAAAGCGCUUCCCUCUCUGAACUUGUCAAUGUGUCACUUAUAACAGGCAUUAAAUUUAAUAUUUGGAGGGACACACCACUUCAAAAUAUUAAUAAAAGCUUCAUAAUGUUAAAGAGAGAGAUAUCACAUAAUCGGAGAAUGAAUGUAGACUUUUUUUGGCUGCUCUUCAGGCAGGAGAUUUAUUAGAAGAACUGUAGUACUCUAAUUCCUAAUCCAUCUCCUCUCCCCCAGUUUGCAGAAAGUUACUCCAUUUGCCUCUCUCUCUAAGGAGUGCCCUUGAAAUGGGAUCUUUUCUAUGUACGUGUUUUUCAGAGAACAUUGUGGAGGAAAAGGAAGAAGCAGCCAAUCCAAAUCAGAAUAUGGGUGAUUCAUAGUAAGAACUGUUAAGGCUGUAAAAAAAUCCAACAAACCCUGGUCAGGAUUCUAAUGGAUUGGCAUAUCUCCUUCCACAUCAAUAAAUUUGUCACUGGUGAAAGUGUUUAUUCCUUCGCAGUCGUAUGAUUUAUGCUGGACUUUUUGUACUGCAUAUGUGGACCUAUAGCUCGUCCUCAAACAGUAGAUGAACUCUGACUAAUAGAUCCUAGUGACUAUCCUGCAGUUUAUGCAGGAUUAGUAUUUUAAAAGGGUAGUGUGCAUGAUUUAAGCAGGAUUUGAGUAUAUAGCAAUGGUUUGUCCUUUGCUGUCAGCAAAGCCAUCCGAAGUUCAUUUCUUUAAAGAAGCUCCAGGCCAAAUGUCAGAAAAAAUUAAAUCAAGCAGUGAUGUAGUUCCGUAGGGAAAAUGUAUUUCAAUUGUGAGGUAUUCAUGGAUAUAAUAUGUCAUCCUGUAGUCUGUGACUGUUGGGUGUACUUGCAGGCAACAUGGCUUGGUAAUUGCUAUUUGUUAAGAAAUUUGGCUCUGAUAAAAAAUGACCUGCCAGAGAGAGAGACAGUUUUGUUAAUUUUAUUUAUGAGACUUUCAUCAAAAUCGGAAGGAUGUGUGUAUGUGGUGGCAAAUCCUCCAUGAUACAGCAUCUUUUAUUAAAGAACGUUGGUUUUGUCUUCCAGCAAGGAGGUACCAUAAUCACUUAGAGCUUUGUCUUCUGCCAUCUGAGAAACGAGUUGGACACAAGCCACUUAUUUUGCUCAGCCACCAACAUUUUGCUACCCAAUUCGCCCUUCCUGAGGGCAAGUGUAAGCAAAUUUUCUGUCUUCCCAACAGAUGUGGGACAAAGCUCGGCUUGUCGGAUCAGCCUGGAUCCAAACCUGGAAAGAAUUAACUUUACCCUCUGUAGUUUUGUUUUCAUAGAGAGUUUCUUUUUUUUUCCCUGGCAUAUUCUAAAUAAAACAAACCAGACCUUUACAGUUGAGGUUAUUCUUUAGUGUGGAUACCUGACCCAGGAGCAAGAUUGUGUAGGUCAUAAUUGGAGGUCUGGCAAACUGAGAUGGAGCCACAAACUGCCUUUGCAUGAGACACUUCCCUGCCCAUGCUGUUCUGUUAGCUUAUUCUCCAAGCUUUUCUGGGGGCAUAGGGGCUUGGAGUGGUUUUCUUCAUCAUCUUUAAUUACAGAUGGGUUAACUUUGUGCUGUCAGUAGCAGUAAGUACUGAUGUGUAGCAUUCAAAUGUCCAAGCCAUUCUUAGCCCUGUUAUUUGCUUACUAUGAAGCAUUACAUGUGGAGCGCACACAUAAUUUAGGAAGAGAAUUUUUUCAGAUGCAAAUGGACAUUUAAAUCAGAAGAAGCUGAUGCACAUUUGAUAGCAGCACCCUUCCAGAAUGAAAAGAUUUGUCACCUAUGAUUCUAUUGAAUGGUUAAGGAACAAUAAUAGACCUGCUCCCUCAGCUGGCCAAAAUCAUUGUAUUGCUUUGGGCUUUGAGCAACCCUCUGACAUUAAUGAUCUAACCCAGCAUUGUUCCUAUAUCUGAGAAAGAGAGUAAUGAAGCCACAUCUCAUGGAUCUAUUUUAAGGAUGUGAGAAAUGGAAAGGGCCAGAUUCUGCUUCAGCUUCUGCCACUCUAAGUCCAGAAGAGAUGAAUUAAAAACCUAAAGUAAUUUUAAGCAGAACACUUGUGUUGUUCCGCAGUAACACUUCCCUAGCCGGAAGCUUAAAACCAAUGACAGAAAAAGAUUGAAUCAUAAGAAUUUCUGAAUAGUUUCAUUGUGUGCCAGCACAAUGCAUGAGAUGUGCUGGGUAAGGAAAUAGGUUGCAUGGAGUUUCAAAUAGGAAAAAGCCCUCUUGUAGUUAACCCUUUAGAGUCUGCAGACAGGGCAGCUGUAGGUAGGAAAACUAAGGAUGGGCUGUCACCAGACAGGUUCGUCUGGCCCUUGCAUGUCUUGCAAGGCAGUCCUUUUGGAGAACAUAUUAUUAUUCAUAGUCUAUCUGCAAAAUAAUUCUUUUCACAUCAGAUUCAGCUUUGUUUAUCAUAUUUUGUGUGGAUCUGUUGAAUUAAAAGACCCAUCUAAAGGAAGACAAAGUUUUUGUUGUAUCCUUUAGUAUUCGUUCUUCUUGUGUGUCUUGGAAGAAUCACAGAUACCUUGGGGUCUGUUGGAACUAAAGUACUUUGGGAGACAGUUAACCAAUGCCUCUUCACUGGAGAGGAGGUUGGUUGACAGAUCAAAAGUGCAUCUUUCCCAUAAUAGUGAGCAAAAGAUUUUAAUCAGGCUGUCCGUAUGACCGUAAAGAGAUGAUCUCUUUUCUGGGGAGUCAAGGCUGAUUUUGAAUUAAUUGAAUCUUUCCAAAUUGAGUUUCAUUAAUGGUGGCUUUCCUUUGUUAUAUUGCUGUUUUCAGUGCUUUUAGUAGUUUUUCUCCAAGUCUGCGUCAUACUGUGUCACCCACAGAUAUCAGUUUAAACGAUUUAGAUUUCAAAUGAAGAUGUUACAUAAACCUAGAGUUACUAAGAGCAUGGAAGCCUGUCUGUUGAUUAAUUUCUUAUAUGAAUGCUUUAUAUAUUUCUUAUAGAAAUGCUUUUCUAAACAGCGGUACUGUCUAUUUAGACCAAUACCUAGUGUUCAUAGCUCUUGGGGGAAUAAGCAUUCACUUCCAUCCUUUCUUCCACAGGCUCUUCUUUAUUUUGUUUCCUACCAGUUUUCCUGUCUCCUGUGUUAUUGCUGCCUGCGGUAUUUUAAUCCUUUGGUUUGUAUCCUUUCCAUUUAUUUCCCUCCAUUGCAACCAAUAAUUACUCAGUUUUUCCUAGAUAGUAAACUUCCUCAGCUUUUUCCUUAGUCCUUUCAUUUUUUUCCUAUGCUCUUUCUUUUUGUUUAUUGAGAGAUUCUUUCCUCUAUCUCGGUUAUAUUUUAUGCAGAUAGAAUGGGGAAUAUAUUUGCAUUAUCUUGGUUAUACUGGACAUGAGAUGGUGCUUGUAGUAGCUGUUACCUCUUGUGCAGUUGUUCAGCAAUACCUGCAGGUAUUUCCUUCCUUUUUAGAGACUCAUUCUAAAGAGGAGUCUUUUGAGUCUCAGCCUGUUGGCCCUGGCUGAGGCUCUGAGAGAUGGGAGCUCUCACUGAAGCUAGUAAGAAAAAGUUUAGAGGCAAAGAAAAGCAUGAUCUGCAAUUGGUAAAUUAAGCAAUUUGCUGAAGAAGACUGAAGACAGUACAGUUGUUGGCAGUGGUGAUUCCUACUCAUUCUUCUUUGACAAAGCUAUUUAUGCUGGUGUUGUCAAAUGGUGUUUUAGGUACAUUGGCCUUCUUGGAGUCACAGGGAUCUCCCACGCAUGUACCAUCAGCUCCUGACCUGAAUUUGCUUAUGGGAGGUGAGGAGAGCAGAGCCCAGACCCAGCUUGUGCUGCAGAUGGCAGUGACAGCUAUACCAGCUCCUCUCAAAUCAGUGAGACCUAGCUGCCCAGGCCUGCAGCUUCCUAUUUCCUUGCAUUUAUCCUUUGAAAAGUGCAGUUAAAGUUUUUAGACUCAUUUAUGUAGUUUGGUGCAUAAUGGUAAAUACGCUUUUUUACAGAAGCCAUUUGUAGUACAAUGGUUAUGUAGCACUUUUAUUUCUGAAGACUUCAGAGAUUCUUUCCGGGCCAUAUGACUCACAACUUUGAAGUCACUGAGCAAAGGGUCAAGCCCUUCUUCACUCAAUAGAUGCUUUCAGCUCCAAGUGCUACUAGUACAUUCAGGGCUAAAAAUCUUCUCUAUUGAAACAGCUGUAGCUUCAAAAUGUCGGGAAGCUGCAUUAACGCUUCAUUUCCUGCAGUGAAUCAUUUUGCUUAUGAAAGUAAAAGAGUUAGGGACAUUUAGGGCAAAAAAAAAAAAAAGAA
RNAcentral lists this long non-coding RNA (8062 nucleotides) under Strigops habroptila (Kakapo). RNAcentral describes it as "lncRNA (ENSSHBG00005018767.1)". The record is from RNAcentral. Lineage: Eukaryota; Metazoa; Chordata; Aves; Psittaciformes; Psittacidae.